GCGACUGUAGCUCAAUUGGAUAGAGCAUCGGUCUACGAAACCGAAGGUUGAUGGUUCGAGCCCAUCCAGUCGCG
This 74-nucleotide transfer RNA is filed under the name bacterium. RNAcentral's name for it is "tRNA-Arg". It matches the Rfam family "tRNA". From Rfam's summary of the family: Transfer RNA (tRNA) molecules are approximately 80 nucleotides in length. Their secondary structure includes four short double-helical elements and three loops (D, anti-codon, and T loops). RNAcentral also lists the same sequence under 3 other names. The record is from RNAcentral.